Molecule: ribosomal RNA, 911 nt
Filed under: uncultured Bacillota bacterium
Lineage: Bacteria; Bacillati; Bacillota
Description: bacterial SSU rRNA
Rfam family: Bacterial small subunit ribosomal RNA
Source: RNAcentral
CAAGUCGAGUGCGCAGCUUUCUGUAGCAAUACAGGGAGUGGGCGCACGGCGCACGGGUGAGUAACACGUGGGUAACCUGCCCUUGGAUGGGGAAUAACCCCGCGAAAGCGGGGCUAAUACCGCAUAACAUUCCGGAAACCUUGGUUUCCGGACUCAAAGCCGUAAGGCGUCCGAGGAGUGGCCCGCGUACGAUUAGCUAGUUGGCGAGGUAAUGGCUCACCAAGGCUUUGAUCGUUAGCCGGUCUGAGAGGAUGGCCGGCCACACUGGAACUGAGACACGGUCCAGACUCCUACGGGAGGCAGCAGUGGGGAAUAUUGCGCAAUGGGCGAAAGCCUGACGCAGCGACGCCGCGUGGGGGAUGACGCUUUUCGGAGUGUAAACCCCUUUCGAUCGGGACGAAUGCCUCGCAAGAGGAGUGACGGUACCGGUAGAAGAAGCCCCGGCUAACUACGUGCCAGCAGCCGCGGUAAUACGUAGGGGGCCAGCGUUGCUCGGAAUAACUGGGCGUAAAGGGUUCGUAGGCGGUGCGGCAAGUUGGGAGUGAAAUCUCUGGGCUUAACCCAGAGACUGCUUUCAAAACUGCCGUGCUAGAGUGCGGGAGAGGCCAGUGGAAUUGCAGGUGUAGCGGUGAAAUGCGUAGAUAUCUGCAGGAACACCCGUGGCGAAGGCGGCUGGCUGGACCGCAACUGACGCUGAGGAACGAAAGCUAGGGGAGCAAACAGGAUUAGAUACCCUGGUAGUCCUAGCCCUAAACGAUCAGAACUUGGGGUGCAUCCCGUUGGGGGUGCGUCUCGUAGCUAACGCGUUAAGUUCUGCGCCUGGGGAGUACGGUCGCAAGACUGAAACUCAAGGAAUUGACGGGGGCCCGCACAAGCGGUGGAACAUGUGGUUCAAUUCGACGCACCGCGAA